GUGGCUCAGUGGUAGAGUACUUGCCUUGCAUGCAUGAGGCCCUGGGUUCAAUUCCUCAGC
Molecule: non-coding RNA, 60 nt
Organism: Dipodomys ordii (Ord's kangaroo rat)
Lineage: Eukaryota; Metazoa; Chordata; Mammalia; Rodentia; Heteromyidae
Source: Rfam